Molecule: ribosomal RNA, 495 nt
Filed under: uncultured bacterium
Lineage: Bacteria
Description: partial 16S ribosomal RNA
Rfam family: Bacterial small subunit ribosomal RNA
Source: RNAcentral
GACGAACGCUGGCGGCGUGCCUAAUACAUGCAAGUAGAACGCUGAAGGAGGAGCUUGCUCUUCUGGAUGAGUUGCGAACGGGUGAGUAACGCGUAGGUAACCUGCCUGGUAGCGGGGGAUAACUAUUGGAAACGAUAGCUAAUACCGCAUAACAGUAGAUGUUGCAUGACAUUUGCUUAAAAGGUGCAAUUGCACCACUACCAGAUGGACCUGCGUUGUAUUAGCUAGUUGGUGGGGUAACGGCUCACCAAGGCGACGAUACAUAGCCGACCUGAGAGGGUGAUCGGCCACACUGGGACUGAGACACGGCCCAGACUCCUACGGGAGGCAGCAGGAGGGAAUCUUCGGCAAUGGACGGAAGUCUGACCGAGCAACGCCGCGUGAGUGAAGAAGGUUUUCGGAUCGUAAAGCUCUGUUGUAAGAGAAGAACGAGUGUGAGAGUGGAAAGUUCACACUGUGACGGUAUCUUACCAGAAAGGGACGGCUAACUACGUG